GAUGAACGCUAGCUACAGGCUUAACACAUGCAAGUCGAGGGGCAGCAUGAACUUAGCUUGCUAAGUUUGAUGGCGACCGGCGCACGGGUGAGUAACACGUAUCCAACCUGCCGAUGACUCGGGGAUAGCCUUUCGAAAGAAAGAUUAAUACCCGAUGGCAUAGUUCUUCCGCAUGGUAGAACUAUUAAAGAAUUUCGGUCAUCGAUGGGGAUGCGUUCCAUUAGGUUGUUGGCGGGGUAACGGCCCACCAAGCCUUCGAUGGAUAGGGGUUCUGAGAGGAAGGUCCCCCACAUUGGAACUGAGACACGGUCCAAACUCCUACGGGAGGCAGCAGUGAGGAAUAUUGGUCAAUGGACGAGAGUCUGAACCAGCCAAGUAGCGUGAAGGAUGACUGCCCUAUGGGUUGUAAACUUCUUUUAUAAGGGAAUAAACCCUCCACGUGUGGGAGCUUGUAUGUACCUUAUGAAUAAGCAUCGGCUAAACUCCGUG
This 489-nucleotide ribosomal RNA is filed under the name uncultured bacterium. RNAcentral's name for it is "bacterial SSU rRNA". It matches the Rfam family "Bacterial small subunit ribosomal RNA", at positions 28 to 507 of the family's 1533-position model. The record is from RNAcentral.